Molecule: long non-coding RNA, 1168 nt
Organism: Gossypium raimondii (Peruvian cotton)
Lineage: Eukaryota; Viridiplantae; Streptophyta; Magnoliopsida; Malvales; Malvaceae
Exons: 2
Source: RefSeq, a predicted model, not a curated record
AAAGAAUUAUAAAAUAUAACAAUUUAUUUGUAAUUAGUCUAAAAUAGAUAUAAGUAAAUUAAAAAAGGUAAAUUACACCAAUAGUCAUUUAACUUUAGGGUAGUUGACAAAGUAGUCACUUUAACUAUUUUUCGUUACAGACUUAACGGAAAAAUGACCUGGCUUCCUACUGUGUAAACGGCCCUAAUUUAAAAUCCCAGUUGGGUUGGGCCUAAUUUAAAAUCCCAGUUGGGUUGGACAAUAAAAGAAAAAUAAGAAACAUAGAAGAAGAAGAAAAAAAGAAAAAAAAGAAGAGGAUGAGUAGAAGAGAAACAUGAGUUUGUUGCAACUCAUUCUCCCAGGGUACUGGAAAAAUAAGCUGGGCUAGACAGUAUGAGGUUGUGGAAGAACAUGCUCCCAAGGUACCGAAAAACGAGUCGUCACUGAGUUCAACUUGGUUUCGAGACAUACCCAGAUAAAGAUUUUGCUUUUAAAGCAAGUUUCAAUAAGUUAAACGAUAGUUUCGGUAGAAACCUAGUGAGUUUGUUGUAACUCAGGUCGAGUCUCUUUAAACUCGUAAUCUCAAUUUCGCUAGAAACGCACAAAUCUCAGAAAUCUCAAUUAUCUUUUACUUUUCCAGCGUGUUUACAACAUGGUUUUUCCCUUCAUCCAGGCUAGAUUGCGAAGAGGAAGCGAUCAUGGAGUCAAAGCUCAAGGUGAUGGAUGGGUUCUCACCGUAGCUUUGAUUGAGGGUGCUAAUUUGGCAUCCCUGGAUUCAACAAAUGAUUUAGACCUUUACGUGGUUUUUACCUGCAAUGGCAAGGCAAGAACAAGCUCUGUCAAGCUUCAAACUCAUGUUACUCAAUGGAAUGGUAAUUUCUUGAAAGGUCAUUUUUUUUUUUUGUUGUAAAUUAUUCUCAAGAUAUCUGCUAACUUGUUUUAAUGUUGAUGCUAUGCAAAAAUACUUGAGUUCAAUGCCAUGGAAGAACCUCCAUCGGUGUUGGAUGUCAAAGUUUUCGAUUUCGAUGGGUCUUUUUAUAACAUCUCAAAAAUCAGGUUUAGUAGAAUUGAGUUUGUGAAUCGAGAGAGAGUGUGGUCAUCCCUUAAUCUUUGAGAUUACCUAUACGUUUUUAAGAAAUAAAUGAGAUAUUGGUUUAUUGAUUAAUUGUUAGUAAAACGUUCCUUGAAA